GUUUAUGAUUCAGGAUUCUCCUUUGUGUUCACAAUGCUAAGCAGCUGUCAUGAAACCACGAGUUAGAGAAAUGAGAGUUCAACUCAUCACCACAGUCUACGUGGUCCUUCUUCUUUGCAUUUGUGAUGCUUUUGAGGUUUUCCAGCCAGCCAGUCAGACCUUAAAUCCAGAUGGCACUUUCUCAAUCAUUUGUGAGCACACAAAAACAGUCCCCUCAAAAAUGGAUGCCAGACUGAACAAAAUGCCCCUUCCUCAAAAUUCUCCUUCUGCAAAGAGUGAAAUCAUCUGUCAGCUAAGGAACCCCAAUUUAAACUGCACCGUGUUUUCCCUAGAAAGUAACCGGUACAAAUUUAUAGUAUACCAUGUGGAUCCAAAUGACAUAGGACGGCGUUAUGAGUGUGAGUUCUCCAACCUAACGCAAAUUCCGAUCAUACCCAAAAAGGGAUCUCCGACCAAACUACUCCAAGCAGUGUCCACAUCUCCAUGCUUGAGGGAUACAACCGAAGUCUCUGUGUGUUCCACCCCAGCCCUUCUCCACCGUCCAGACCUUAACCUUAUCUCAUGGCUGCUGAUUGGACUAUCUGGCUUGUUUCUUCUCUACAGCCUCGUUAUAACGUCUGUCUAUGUCAAACUAAAGCAAAAUCAAACCAAGAGAAGGGGAGGAAACCCUGAAAGCACUUCAACCUACAUGGAUAUGAGGAAGAAGCCCCCUGGAGUGAGGGUGUGACACAGGCACAGCUCUGGCGAGUCUCCUGCGAGGCUGCUCUAUUGUGAUCGCAUGUAUUAUCAUUUCAGAUACAGUAUAAAGUAUAAAAGUAUAACUGUCUCUGGUUAAUUAUGAGCUAUUUCAUCGAUUUAUUGAAAUUGUUUGUGUUAUCUUUUACGCCAUAUUAUAAUUGUGUGAUGCGACACAGAGGAAGUUGUUGUGAAAGAUAGUCAAUGGACUUUAUCAUCCACAAUGGUGAAGGCUAUUACAGUAGCAAGCUUGUAGUGGUCAACUGUGCUGGCUUGGAGAUCAGUUAUCUGUAGUAAUAUCUUUGUAAAAAACAGUAAGUAAUCAAGGAUCCUAGACACCAUUUCUCCCAGGACUUCUCUAGCAGCUGAUAAGAGCUCAAAAUAGUAACAUUAAGCUUGUGUGCAAUUCUUAUUUGUUUGCAGAAUCCCCCAAUGGAAACUAUGUGCUAUGUACAGUAGACAGUUAUGUCUAGCCCACCUGAUUAAGAUACGUUUUAUAUUGUUAGAGACUUGUUAGUACGGCAUAAUUUAAUCACAAAAACGGAAUGACAAAAAUGUUAAUGCUCAAUAGAGACCGCUUGUUGAGGAAUUUGUAGUUAAAUAAAGUUAUGGAGAGUAA
RNA transcript from Hypomesus transpacificus, 1354 nucleotides. RefSeq lists it as uncharacterized. NCBI's taxonomy places the organism in Eukaryota, Metazoa, Chordata, Actinopteri, Osmeriformes, Osmeridae. The record is from RefSeq and is a predicted model, not a curated record. The transcript is spliced from 5 exons.